ACAGAGAACAUGAAAAAAUGGGUGUUGCCAUACCAAGUAUAACGAGAGUAAUCUGUUAAGGUGGUCUAUUGUGAGCAGGAGAAAAAAAAUACUGUUGGAAGUGGCCCG
Molecule: long non-coding RNA, 108 nt
Organism: Gopherus evgoodei (Goodes thornscrub tortoise)
Lineage: Eukaryota; Metazoa; Chordata; Testudines; Testudinidae
Exons: 3
Source: RefSeq, a predicted model, not a curated record